AUGGCGUCCAGAGAGACCAGCAUCCAGAUGGCAGGGGUACUGGACGGCGAGGCGGGGUGUGGUCUGUCCACGGAGUCGCGUCCCGUUCGUGUCCCUUCGCAGGCCACCGGCGCUAGUGAGCAAGCUCAUGCCGCUUCUGUGAUGGAGGCCGCCGUUGUCGUCGGCGGCACCAGGACGCUGACCAUCAAGGACGCGGCCGUGGCUGCUCAGGCUGAGAGGCCGUGCUUGCCAGGCCCUCCGUCGGGGCUCUCCGUCUCACAGGCGCAGCCUGGCAUGCCGCCGUCCAUUCGCUCGUGCAACCCCGAAAUGGGCGAGGCUCGGGUGCUGCCCAGCGAUUCAAAGCUCGAAGGCGGCGGCGAGGCACCAGCGCUGUUGCAGAGCGACAGCACGCGGGAGCUGGACCGCCGGUUUGACAACUUCAAGACCUUCUCGGGCCGCCUCGAGCGGCAGCUCUCCAGCCUCCGAGGUCUCCAGCAUGGCCUGCCGCCAGUUGACAUCGAGCAUGGAGCCGCGCCCAAUAUCUCCAUCGAGGACACCGACGAGGAAAACAUAGUCCCCUCAGCCGAUCGCUACUUCGCCGCCCUCGAAGGCCCCGAGCUCGAGACCCUUCGGUCGACGGAGGUGGCAGUGCUGCCUGAGGAUGAGCAAUGGCCGUUCCUUCUCCGGUUCCCGAUUAGCGCGUUCGGGAUGUGCCUUGGCAUGAGCACCCAAGCGAUGCUGUGGAAGACGCUCGAGUCGGAGCCCUCAACGGCAUUCCUCCACGUGCACCCCGCCGUCAACCACGUCCUCUGGUGGGCCUCCGUCGCCCUCACCGCCAUCGUCUCCAUCACCUACCUCCUCAAGGGCGUGCCGCAUCCGGUGUGGGAGAUCCACCACUUCGUGUGGUACCUCCUCAUGGCUCCCAUUCUCUGCCUCGACAUUAAGAUCUACGGCCAGUGGAUGUCCAGCGGCGAGCGCCGACUCUCCAAGGUGGCUAACCCGUCCAACCACCUCGCUAUUGUCGGCAACUUUGCCGGCGCGCUUCUCGGCUCCAGGAUGGGCCUCCGAGAGCUGCCCAUUUUCUUCUUCGCCAUCGGGCUAGCGCACUAUGUUGUACUCUUCGUCACCCUCUACCAAAGGCUCCCCACCAACGUGCAACUACCCAAAGAGCUCCACCCGGUAUUUUUCUUCUUCAUCGCCGCACCUGGCGUCGCCUCGAUGGCCUGGGAAAGCAUCUCCUGUGAGUUCAACAAUGGCGCCAAGCUCCUUUAUUUCAUCUCGCUCUUCCUCUACAUGUCGUUGGUGGUGCGUGUCAACCUCUUUUGGGGGUUUAGGUUCUCAUUGUCGUGGUUGGCCUACACAUUCCCCAUCAAUUGUGUGGCCGUGGCAACAGUGUUGUAUGCGUCGAAGGUGGACAAUGUGCUAAUGCGGGCACUAGCGGUUGGGCUGUCAGGGAUUGCCUCUGUCACGAUCACCGGUGUGUUGGUCACUACCGUGUACCAUGCCUUCGUGCGCAAAGACCUCUUCCCUAACGAUGUGUCCAUUGCCAUCACACGACGCAGGCCCAAAUUUAGCAAGAUCCUCGCGCAUCUCCGCUCUUCUAGCUUGGACAUCAAGGAGAUCGACCUCUCCAUCCCCGGUUCAAAUUCCAUUUCCAAGAACGACAGCUACUCCAGUGACUUGUGUUCCAACUCCAGGACAAGCAGCAACACCAAUGAGUCUCCGGUGUCACACGGGCAUGCAAGAGCAGAGUGUUAG
This 1737-nucleotide ribosomal RNA is filed under the name Triticum aestivum (bread wheat). RNAcentral describes it as "partial small subunit ribosomal RNA". Lineage: Eukaryota; Viridiplantae; Streptophyta; Magnoliopsida; Poales; Poaceae. The record is from RNAcentral.